Wyeomyia smithii (pitcher-plant mosquito) is the source of this 1412-nucleotide long non-coding RNA. RefSeq lists it as uncharacterized. NCBI's taxonomy places the organism in Eukaryota, Metazoa, Arthropoda, Insecta, Diptera, Culicidae. The transcript is spliced from 3 exons. The record is from RefSeq and is a predicted model, not a curated record.
CGGAUAACUCGUUUUGAUACCAUACAUUAUACUUAACGUCGGAAAUAGUGCGCUGUAUAGCGCAUCUGAUUUGCUAUACAGCGCAUUACUUCCGACGUUAAGUAUAAUGUACGGUAUGAGAGAAAAAUCGAAUGUCGCUAGUCGAAAAAUUCGACUUUCUACUUGGGCGACAGUACUCACAGUGAAAGAUGAGUACCGGAUCGAUACUUUCUAAAAUCGAAUUCGUUUUUACGACAGGACUAUCCCGUCCCGGACUACGCUUUGCAGCUGAAAAAAAACACUCCGAGCAGUUGCAAUGGUGUGCGUAAUACCAGAGGUAACUGUCACUUUUGUUUUGGUCAUUAUCGCCAUUGUUUUUAUCGCAUUUGUGCUACUGUACGAAAAAUUUGCCAAUUUACUGAAAAAUGACUAAAUAACAAAAUAAAAUAAAAAAAAUUCAACCUGAUGUUUGACACGCGAAGAACGAUAAUCAAAGCAGAGAUGCCAGAUGUUUUUGAAAAAUGUCUGCAACUGCUCGAAAAACCAGUAAAAUCUGCUUGAAAUCUGAAAAAAAUCUAUUCGUGAUUCGAAAAAAUUUCGCUCGCGCUGGUAAAAGUCUGUAAGAUCUGCACACAUUUUGAGAAAAACUGCGCAAAUAUAAGGAGACUCUGACAAAAAUCUGCAGAAACUAUGGAAAGUCUGUGAAUAUCUGCAAAUCAAUAAAAAUCUGCACACGAACUCUAAAAAUCUGCGUUUUGCAGACAAAUCUGCACAUCUGGUAUCCCUGAAUCAAAGCAAACCGAUUUUGACACAUUUUUUUUAUUCGAUUUUGACACAUACGUGUGAAUGUGUUGGUGUCUUCAAAACUGCACUCUAUCUUGCGCGGACUGUCCGGGACAGAAAAAGGGUAGUCCGGGAUAGUCCGGAAAAUGUAAAAAAAAACAGUGGUAGGACAAAGUGUAGUCCGCGGGGUAGCUACACCGCAAAAACGAAAACGACAUAAAUGAUGAUUUUUGGAAAAAAAUGAAGGUCUGAUACCGAUACUAUCGAAGCAUCGAUAAUCGAUACUCCUUCAGCCGAUACUUUGAUACCUAGUAUCAAAGCUCAUUGAAGUAUCACGAUACCAAAAUAUCGAUACUUUCGUCAGUAUCGCCCAUCCCUAGUACUCUACACGUUUGCUCUGUCGAUUUGUUCGCACGCGUUACUUCUACGAUCUGUUUUGUUUAUUAUUUGUCACCAAUUGCCAUGGUAGGACGUUAAAAGAGAUUCGAUACUGCGUCGUUUAAGAAUUAGGUCAAGAAUGUUCACUAUCCGUAUGGUAUUGGCUUUGUUGCAGAGAAUAGCGAUUCUGACAAUUGAUGAUAGCAGAUGAAAUACUCCUGUAUUCAUAAAGAAGAUUCAUUUUUGCAAAUAAUUAAAAAUAAUUGAUUUCA